This 253-nucleotide ribosomal RNA is filed under the name uncultured bacterium. RNAcentral's name for it is "partial 16S ribosomal RNA". It matches the Rfam family "Bacterial small subunit ribosomal RNA", at positions 524 to 776 of the family's 1533-position model. The record is from RNAcentral.
UACGGGGGGAGCAAGCGUUGUUCGGAUUCAUUGGGCGUAAAGGGCGCGUAGGCGGUCAGGUCAGUCCGUCAUGAAAUGUACCGGUUCAACCGGGGCACCGUGUCGGAAACUGCCUGGCUUGAGGCCGAGGGAGGAAGGUGGAAUUCCUGGUGUAGCGGUGAAAUGCGUAGAUAUCAGGAGGAACACCCGUGGCGAAGGCGACCUUCUAUCUCGGAUCUGACGCUGAGGCGCGAAAGCUAGGGGAGCAAACGGG